This 432-nucleotide ribosomal RNA is filed under the name uncultured bacterium. RNAcentral's name for it is "bacterial SSU rRNA". It matches the Rfam family "Bacterial small subunit ribosomal RNA", at positions 124 to 571 of the family's 1533-position model. The record is from RNAcentral.
ACCUGCCUACUAGAGGGGAAUAACAGUGAGAAAUCAUUGCUAAUACCGCAUAUGCCAUGAACAUCACAUGAUGAAAAUGGGAAAAGAGUAAUCUACUAGUAGAUGGGCUCGCGUCUGAUUAGAUAGUUGGUGGGGUAACGGCCUACCAAGUCAACGAUCAGUAGCCGGACUGAGAGGUUGAACGGCCACAUUGGGACUGAGAUACGGCCCAGACUCCUACGGGAGGCAGCAGUCGGGAAUAUUGCGCAAUGGAGGAAACUUUGACGCAGUGACGCCGCGUAUAGGAAGAAGGUUUUCGGAUUGUAAACUAUUGUCGUUAGGGAAGAUACAAGACAGUACCUAAGGAGGAAGCUCCGGCUAACUACGUGCCAGCAGCCGCGGUAAUACGUAGGGAGCAAGCGUUAUCCGGAUUUAUUGGGUGUAAAGGGUGCG